This 379-nucleotide ribosomal RNA is filed under the name uncultured eukaryote. RNAcentral describes it as "partial 18S ribosomal RNA". It matches the Rfam family "Eukaryotic small subunit ribosomal RNA", at positions 592 to 975 of the family's 1831-position model. The record is from RNAcentral.
CAAUAGCGUAUAUUAAAGUUGUUGCAGUUAAAAAGCUCGUAGUUGGAUUUCUGGUUGAAGCGACCGGUCGGGCGUUGAUUCGUCUGCACUGGAGUCGGUUUUGGCCAUCCUCUAGGAAAGUGCGUCUGGUAUUAAGUUAUCGGGCGUAUGAUCCUGGUCUUUUACUGUGAAAAAAUUAGAGUGUUUAAAGCAGGCCUUCGCCUUGAAUACAUUAGCAUGGAAUAAUAAGAUAGGACUUUGGUCUAUUUUGUUGGUUGAGCCUAAAGUAAUGAUUAAUAGGGAUAGUUGGGGGCACCUGUAUUGCGUUGUCAGAGGUGAAAUUCUUGGAUUUACGCAAGACAAACAGCUGCGAAAGCGUCUGCCAAGGAUGUUUNCAUUA